Molecule: ribosomal RNA, 702 nt
Filed under: Triticum aestivum (bread wheat)
Lineage: Eukaryota; Viridiplantae; Streptophyta; Magnoliopsida; Poales; Poaceae
Description: partial small subunit ribosomal RNA
Source: RNAcentral
AUGUACAAUGUGCCGGAUCGCCAUUGGGUUAGCACUGCCACCUUGUACUUUGAAGAUCAUGCUGCUCUAUGGCUGCAAGCAUACAAGCAUACUCACUGGCAGAUGAAUUGGGAUGCCUUGAUCACAGCCCUGGUCGCGGAGUUUGGCAGCGAUGACUACGAUGGCCAGAUGUCUAGUCUGUUGCAGCUCAAGCAAAUUGAAGCAGUGGCCGAAUACAAGCACAAAUUCGAGUCCUGCAUGUACCACCUCUUAUCUGUUGAUUCUGCUCUGAACUCAAAAUGGUUUGUUUCUCAUUUCAUCCAUGGCUUUCGUGAUGAAUUUAGAGCAGCAGUCAGAUUGCAACAUCCAGAUAGUGUAACAAAGGCAGCUCAUCUAGCACAAAUUCAAGAGGAAGAAAAUGACACUUGCCACCGUCCACGAGCAUGCCUUGCUGCAGCAAUCAAACACCAGAUGGCCCAUCCACCUCAAGGGGCAUUGGAACCCCAUCGAGACAAGGAUGAGUUUGCUCGGGAGCGCAUGUUACGAGAAUCCAGACAAGCUCAAGGACUUUGUUUCUGGUGUGGAGACAAGUAUAGCCAUGAGCACAAGUGCAAACCCCCUGCCCAACUAUUGACCAUACAAGUGGGGGACUGUGGCGAAACUCUCUCUGAUGAUACAAUUCAUGCUUUGGAAUUGCUAGACGAGCCAGCACUAGCUGGUUGA